GCCAUCUCUCCGCCGUGGCUGCGAUCUCUCUUUGGAUGAAGUAGAACUACACUUCUCACCAAACCCCACAGCUUGAAGAUAAAGCUGAAUUAUAAAAGGUGAUGAGCAACAGAUUGAAACUAGCUACUCAAAGGAUUAAAUAAACUAAUUUGAUCCUGUUUAGAUAUCUCCCCUAACAACCCUGAGUGCUAGAUCAAGUCCUGUAACCUUUAAGCUGGUCUCACCUGUACCUUCUAUUCCCCAGUCUCUGUCGGGAUAACAAUAGUUGUGUACGAGAUAUGUUGGCUAAGAUCUAAAGAGCUAUUAACCUCCGGCCUAAUCAACUUUUUUCACGGCUUAGAGCUCUUGUUCCUGUAUCUAUAGACUAAAUAAAUAAGAUUAAGCAAGACUCUAGUGUAUAAACGAGGUGCGCUGGUGAAAGAUGUAUGCCCAUCUUAAUGUUAAUAGUUUGAAUACCUGUGGAUCUAAGGUAUUGGUAUUCUUGGUUCUAUCCUAGACCUUGAAAAUGGCACAGCAA
Eurytemora carolleeae is the source of this 517-nucleotide long non-coding RNA. RefSeq lists it as uncharacterized. The record is from RefSeq and is a predicted model, not a curated record. The transcript is spliced from 3 exons. NCBI's taxonomy places the organism in Eukaryota, Metazoa, Arthropoda, Copepoda, Calanoida, Temoridae.